GUAGCUAACUGAAGACAGAGACCUCUACUCUCUCAAGCACUCCAGAAGGAAUUAUAGAGAUUUAUCUGUGUCUCUCAGUGGGAAAUGAGGCAGAAGACUAGGGCAUGACAACAUGGUUGUCAACUGGCACGACCAGCCAGUUGAAGAGACUUGUUACCAUGGGCAGAGCAGCAGCUCCCGAGCCUGACACAAGAUCAAGCCAAGCCAAGCACCUGGUGCCAAUCUUCUGACAUAAGAACAUGCUGAACCUGACACCUAAUAUCAAUCUUCUGACAAGCUGAGCCUCGCACCUGAUCCCAAUCUUCCAGCACAGGAUUGAGUGGACCACCUGCAUCAACUACUGAAGACAUAAAAAGAUGGCAGCAAAUGACUUUGCACUACUGGAGUAUAGUUAUUGCAGUUCUGUUCUGUUGCAGGACAUAUCUUCUCUUUUUUCCUUCCAAGCAACCUUUUCUCCUUGAGGACUUCUUUUGUGCUUCUUUUCCUUUUCUUCUUCUUUGUGCCUUAAAUAAAUGUUAAUCUUUCACAUUCACAAACUGGUCUGUCCAAUUCAUUGAGCGAGACAAUAAGAGCCUGGAAAGCAUUGCUGGUCUCUGCGCCACUAAGUAACAAUAGGAAGGGCAUCUUUCUUGCCCAGAGAUCAAGGGAGAAGAGGACCCGGGCUCAGUGGAGCCCACUUCCAAGAAUUGGCCCAUUCCCAGCCCUCACAGACCUGCCUUUAGGACCCAGCCCUUAGGACCUGCGCACACCUCUCCCCACCCUACUGUGCUCCACACUCAGGCCCUGGGCUCCCACUCGACCAAAGACUGCAAGUGUAAAGUGCCCAAAGCACAGUCACUGAUGAUUCAGCAUGACACAUGCCCUUCACUGGCACAGUUGCUAUUUUUGACAUUUGUUUACCUUGGAAAGAAACGACAGAAGUAGAAGAGGAAAACACGGCCGAAUGGUGAUUUACACACAGCAGAGUCCCCAAGGGCACCUGAGGCGAUCACACGGUAUAAGGUGCAGUGAAAAGAGGUACACUACCUAUACCUCUGCACCCUGUUCAACACUCUCGUCUAACCUGGAUACACUUCCUCCGAUUGAAUGAUCACCUGGCAGACGUUUUUUAAGGUUUGUCUUGGGACCAGACAUAAGGUGGCUCAACAUCAGACCCUUGCCGUGAACAGCUCACGAUCCCAACCACUGGCAAAUUACUGCUUUGGUUGCAAUGGAUGGUCCAAAAGGGUAAUUGAGCUGUGCCUCAUCCUGACACUGGGAGCGCUAGAUGGAACCAACUUGUGGCUGCUCUGAGUCCUGGGCUCAGGUGACCCCUUUCCAAAAUGGUGACUGGUCAGUCUCUUGGGGACUGUCUCUUGGGG
This 1361-nucleotide long non-coding RNA is filed under the name Heterocephalus glaber (naked mole-rat). RNAcentral's name for it is "lncRNA (ENSHGLG00100036438.1)". Lineage: Eukaryota; Metazoa; Chordata; Mammalia; Rodentia; Bathyergidae. The record is from RNAcentral.